UACGGAGGGUGCAAGCGUUAUCCGGAUUUACUGGGUUUAAAGGGUUCGCAGGCGGAUAUGUCAGUCAGUGGUGAAAUCUCCGGGCUUAACCCGGAAACUGCCGUUGAUACUAUAUAUCUUGAAUGCUGUGGAGGUAAGCAGAAUAUGUCAUGUAGCGGUGAAAUGCUUAGAGAUGACAUAGAAUACCUAUUGCGAAGGCAGCUUACUACGCAGAUAUUGACGCUCAUGCACGAAAGCGUGGGGAUCAAACAGG
RNAcentral lists this ribosomal RNA (253 nucleotides) under uncultured bacterium. RNAcentral's name for it is "partial 16S ribosomal RNA". It matches the Rfam family "Bacterial small subunit ribosomal RNA", at positions 524 to 776 of the family's 1533-position model. The record is from RNAcentral.